Molecule: ribosomal RNA, 926 nt
Filed under: uncultured Bacteroidota bacterium
Lineage: Bacteria; Pseudomonadati; Bacteroidota
Description: bacterial SSU rRNA
Rfam family: Bacterial small subunit ribosomal RNA
Source: RNAcentral
UGGAUCCAGACUUUGAUCCUGGCUCAGGAUGAACGCUAGCUACAGGCUUAACACAUGCAAGUCGAGGGGAAACGAUAUUGGAAGCUUGCUUCCGAUAGGCGUCGACCGGCGCACGGGUGAGUAACGCGUAUCCAACCUGCCCACCACUUGGGGAUAACCUUGCGAAAGUAAGACUAAUACCCAAUGAUAUCUCUAGAAGGCAUCUGAAAGAGAUUAAAGCUUUAUCGGUGAUGGAUGGGGAUGCGUCUGAUUAGCUUGUUGGCGGGGUAACGGCCCACCAAGGCAACGAUCAGUAGGGGUUCUGAGAGGAAGGUCCCCCACAUUGGAACUGAGACACGGUCCAAACUCCUACGGGAGGCAGCAGUGAGGAAUAUUGGUCAAUGGACGAGAGUCUGAACCAGCCAAGUAGCGUGCAGGAUGACGGCCCUAUGGGUUGUAAACUGCUUUUAUAAGGGAAUAAAGUGAGUCUCGUGAGACUUUUUGCAUGUACCUUAUGAAUAAGGACCGGCUAAUUCCGUGCCAGCAGCCGCGGUAAUACGGAAGGUCCGGGCGUUAUCCGGAUUUAUUGGGUUUAAAGGGAGCGUAGGCCGGAGAUUAAGCGUGUUGUGAAAUGUAGACGCUCAACGUCUGCACUGCAGCGCGAACUGGUUUCCUUGAGUACGCACAAAGUGGGCGGAAUUCGUGGUGUAGCGGUGAAAUGCUUAGAUAUCACGAAGAACUCCGAUUGCGAAGGCAGCUCACUGGAGCGCAACUGACGCUGAAGCUCGAAAGUGCGGGUAUCGAACAGGAUUAGAUACCCUGGUAGUCCGCACGGUAAACGAUGGAUGCCCGCUGUUGGUCUGAAUAGGUCAGCGGCCAAGCGAAAGCAUUAAGCAUCCCACCUGGGGAGUACGCCGGCAACGGUGCAACUCAAAUGAAUUGACGGA